This 116-nucleotide ribosomal RNA is filed under the name Planococcus plakortidis. The record is from RNAcentral. Lineage: Bacteria; Bacillati; Bacillota; Bacilli; Caryophanales; Caryophanaceae.
UCUAGUGAUGAUGGCAAAGAGGCCACACCCGUCCCCAUCCCGAACACGGAAGUUAAGCUCUUUUGCGCCGAUGGUAGUUGGGGGUUUCCCCCUGUGAGAGUAGGACGUCGCUAGGC